GACGAACGCUGGCGGCGUGCUUAACACAUGCAAGUCGAACGGUGAAGCCCUUCGGGGUGGAUCAGUGGCGAACGGGUGAGUAACACGUGAGCAACCUGCCCCUGGCCCUGGGACAACCACUGGAAACGGUGGCUAAUACCGGAUACGACCAGCCUCGGCAUCGAGUGUGGGUGGAAAGUUUUUCGGCUGGGGAUGGGCUCGCGGCCUAUCAGCUUGUUGGUGAGGUGAAGGCUGACCAAGGCGACGACGGGUAGCCGGCCUGAGAGGGCGACCGGCCACACUGGGACUGAGACACGGCCCAGACUCCUACGGGAGGCAGCAGUGGGGAAUAUUGCACAAUGGGCGAAAGCCUGAUGCAGCGACGCCGCGUGCGGGAUGACGGCCUUCGGGUUGUAAACCUCUUUCAGCUCCGAAGAAGCGAAAGUGACGGUAGGGGCAGAAGAAGCACCGGCUAACUACGUG
RNAcentral lists this ribosomal RNA (462 nucleotides) under uncultured bacterium. Its description in RNAcentral is "partial 16S ribosomal RNA". It matches the Rfam family "Bacterial small subunit ribosomal RNA", at positions 28 to 507 of the family's 1533-position model. The record is from RNAcentral.